This 425-nucleotide ribosomal RNA is filed under the name uncultured bacterium. RNAcentral's name for it is "partial 16S ribosomal RNA". It matches the Rfam family "Bacterial small subunit ribosomal RNA", at positions 354 to 796 of the family's 1533-position model. The record is from RNAcentral.
GUGGGGAAUCUUAGACAAUGGGGGAAACCCUGAUCUAGCCAUGCCGCGUGAGCGAUGAAGGCCUUAGGGUUGUAAAGCUCUUUCAGCUGGGAAGAUAAUGACGGUACCAGCAGAAGAAGCCCCGGCUAACUCCGUGCCAGCAGCCGCGGUAAUACGGAGGGGGCUAGCGUUGUUCGGAAUUACUGGGCGUAAAGCGCGCGUAGGCGGACCAGAAAGUUGGAGGUGAAAUCCCAGGGCUCAACCUUGGAACUGCCUUCAAAACUCCUGGUCUGGAGUUCGAGAGAGGUGAGGGGAAUUCCGAGUGUAGAGGUGAAAUUCGUAGAUAUUCGGAGGAACCACAGUGGCGAAGGCGGCUCACUGGCUCGAUACUGACGCUGAGGUGCGAAAGCGUGGGGAGCAAACAGGAUUAGAAACCCUUGUAGUCC